Long non-coding RNA from Micropterus dolomieu (smallmouth bass), 332 nucleotides. RefSeq lists it as uncharacterized. NCBI's taxonomy places the organism in Eukaryota, Metazoa, Chordata, Actinopteri, Centrarchiformes, Centrarchidae. The transcript is spliced from 2 exons. The record is from RefSeq and is a predicted model, not a curated record.
CGGACUUAAAUUUUCCCCGUGACAGCACUGUGGCAUGAAGAAGCAUCAGAUGAAGAUGAACUGGUACUCCCGCUGGGAUUGUACGGUUCAUCCCCAAUCCGAGAGAGCUUCCUCUUCUCCCUCUCCACCUCGCUGCGGACCUCCUCGAUGGCCUUGUUGACCAACUCCAGAGCACCACUGAGGUCUCCUGAGGCAGCUGGCUUUCCAUUCUGCUGCACCUGGGGCCUCACAACUUCUGGGUUGAAAGGAUCAUAACCUUGAUCUGUAGGGAUGCAAGAAAAACAGUCUUAAUAAAAUUGACCGAUAGAAUAAUAAAAGGUCCACUUACCCAC